GUGUGUGUGUCCCCUAUAUAACAGGUGUGUGUGUCCCCUAUAUAACAGGUGUGUCCCCUAUAUAACAGGUGUGUCCCCUAUAUAACAGGUGUGUGUGUCCCCUAUAUAACAGGUGUGUGUGUCCCCUAUAUAACAGGUGUGUGUGUUCCCU
Oncorhynchus keta (chum salmon) is the source of this 151-nucleotide long non-coding RNA. RefSeq lists it as uncharacterized. NCBI's taxonomy places the organism in Eukaryota, Metazoa, Chordata, Actinopteri, Salmoniformes, Salmonidae. The transcript has 3 exons. The record is from RefSeq and is a predicted model, not a curated record.